RNAcentral lists this long non-coding RNA (482 nucleotides) under Bos taurus (domestic cattle). Its description in RNAcentral is "long non-coding RNA NONBTAT023663". Lineage: Eukaryota; Metazoa; Chordata; Mammalia; Artiodactyla; Bovidae. The record is from RNAcentral.
AGGACUGGGAACAAAUUUAUUGUACCAAAGUUGAUUGACUGACCCCAUUUUUCAUUAAGAUACAUGCAUAGAGGAGUCUGACAUGGCAGAGACAAUAUCAGAGAAGGUUGUUGUCACUGCUUUAGGCUCUUAUGCCUUGCCAAAAAGUGGUGGCAAGAAGUUCAUUCCAAAUCCAUGUGUUAUUCCUUGACUGCCCCUUUGUAUUGUUUUCUUCCUGCCCAGACUGGGUGAGUAGAUCAUGCGUGGAAAAGGUAUAAGUUAGCUGUUUUUUAAGAUAUUAUGGUAAUAAGUAGUUUUAAAUAAUUAUUUUUCUGACACAUUUUAGAGUAUUUCCUGGAAUGUUCUCAAGUAUCAGUGCCUUUAAUCACUAGGGUUCAUUUUAUUUUGUUUGUUAAUACAGGAUAUUGACAAGUUUCAUAGCUAAUUUUUAAAUAGAUUAUAUUUUCAUUAUGAAGUAUAUCUUUUGUUAUAUUAAAAUUUCC